GGGGAUGUGGCUUACUGGUAGAGUGCUUACCUGGCAUGUGCAUGAGGCCCUGGGUUCAAUCCCCAGCACCUCA
Molecule: transfer RNA, 73 nt
Filed under: Marmota marmota marmota (Alpine marmot)
Lineage: Eukaryota; Metazoa; Chordata; Mammalia; Rodentia; Sciuridae
Also listed under: 4 other names
Rfam family: tRNA
About the family: Transfer RNA (tRNA) molecules are approximately 80 nucleotides in length. Their secondary structure includes four short double-helical elements and three loops (D, anti-codon, and T loops).
Source: Rfam by way of RNAcentral